Molecule: ribosomal RNA, 618 nt
Filed under: Streptomyces sp. 12CM17
Lineage: Bacteria; Bacillati; Actinomycetota; Actinomycetes; Kitasatosporales; Streptomycetaceae
Description: bacterial SSU rRNA
Rfam family: Bacterial small subunit ribosomal RNA
Source: RNAcentral
GUGGGCAAUCUGCCCUGCACUCUGGGACAAGCCCUGGAAACGGGGUCUAAUACCGGAUAUGACUGUCCAUCGCAUGGUGGAUGGUGUAAAGCUCCGGCGGUGCAGGAUGAGCCCGCGGCCUAUCAGCUUGUUGGUGAGGUAGUGGCUCACCAAGGCGACGACGGGUAGCCGGCCUGAGAGGGCGACCGGCCACACUGGGACUGAGACACGGCCCAGACUCCUACGGGAGGCAGCAGUGGGGAAUAUUGCACAAUGGGCGAAAGCCUGAUGCAGCGACGCCGCGUGAGGGAUGACGGCCUUCGGGUUGUAAACCUCUUUCAGCAGGGAAGAAGCGAAAGUGACGGUACCUGCAGAAGAAGCGCCGGCUAACUACGUGCCAGCAGCCGCGGUAAUACGUAGGGCGCAAGCGUUGUCCGGAAUUAUUGGGCGUAAAGAGCUCGUAGGCGGCUUGUCACGUCGGUUGUGAAAGCCCGGGGCUUAACCCCGGGUCUGCAGUCGAUACGGGCAGGCUAGAGUUCGGUAGGGGAGAUCGGAAUUCCUGGUGUAGCGGUGAAAUGCGCAGAUAUCAGGAGGAACACCGGUGGCGAAGGCGGAUCUCUGGGCCGAUACUGACGCUGA